CGAAGGAUUCGAGCGUUAUCCGGAUUUAUUGGGUUUAAAGGGUGCGUAGGUGGAUUAAUAAGUCAGUGGUGAAAGCCCGGAGCUCAACUCUGGAACUGCCAUUGAUACUGUUAGUCUUGAGUACAGUUGAGGUGGGCGGAAUGUGUCAUGUAGCGGUGAAAUGCUUAGAUAUGACACAGAACACCGAUUGCGAAGGCAGCUCACUAAGCUGUAACUGACACUGAGGCACGAAAGUGUGGGUAGCAAACAGGAUUAGAUACCCUGGUAGUCCACACCCUAAACGAUGAUUACUCGUUGUUGGCGAUACACAGUCAGCGACUAAGCGAAAGCAUUAAGUAAUCCACCUGGGGAGUACGGUCGCAAGACUG
RNAcentral lists this ribosomal RNA (368 nucleotides) under uncultured organism. RNAcentral's name for it is "bacterial SSU rRNA". It matches the Rfam family "Bacterial small subunit ribosomal RNA", at positions 526 to 896 of the family's 1533-position model. The record is from RNAcentral.